AACCCUUCAAGCACCGCUUGGUGUUGGGCGCUUGUCCCGCCGCGGGCGCGGACUCGCCUUGAAAGCAUUGGCGGCCUGUGUAUUGGCUUCGAGCGCAGCAGACUCGCGCGUCGUCCCCUUUCGCACCGGCGUCCAAACAAGCCAACCCCCCAAG
Molecule: unclassified non-coding RNA, 154 nt
Filed under: uncultured Pleosporales
Lineage: Eukaryota; Fungi; Ascomycota; Dothideomycetes; Pleosporales
Description: sequence contains ITS2
Source: RNAcentral